Molecule: ribosomal RNA, 215 nt
Filed under: uncultured bacterium
Lineage: Bacteria
Description: partial 16S ribosomal RNA
Rfam family: Bacterial small subunit ribosomal RNA
Source: RNAcentral
UGGGAAACUGCCCUUAGGUUCGGAAUAACAGUUAGAAAUGACUGCUAAUACCGGAUAAUGACGUAAGUCCAAAGAUUUAUCGCCUAGGGAUGAGCCCGCGUAGGAUUAGCUAGUUGGUGGGGUAAAAGCCUACCAAGGCGACGAUCCUUAGCUGGUCUGAGAGGAUGAUCAGCCACACUGGGACUGAGACACGGCCCAGACUCCUACGGGAGCAG